RNAcentral lists this ribosomal RNA (720 nucleotides) under uncultured bacterium. RNAcentral describes it as "bacterial SSU rRNA". It matches the Rfam family "Bacterial small subunit ribosomal RNA", at positions 680 to 1401 of the family's 1533-position model. The record is from RNAcentral.
GGGGAAAUGCAAAGAAAUCACGAAGAACUUCCGAUUGGGAAGGCAGCCCUCCGGCCCGUCAACGACGCUCAUGCUUGAAGGCGGGGGGAUCAAACAGGAUAAGAUACCCUGGUAGUCCGCGCAGUAAACGAUGGACACUCGGGAUUUGGGCCUUUUGCCUGAGUCCCCCAGCGAAAGCGUUAAGUGUCCCACCUGGGGAGUACGCCGGCAACGGUGAAACUCAAAGGAAUUGACGGGGGCCCGCACAAGCGGAGGAACAUGUGGUUUAAUUCGAUGAUACGCGAGGAACCUUACCCGGGCUUGAAAUGUGACCGACGACCCCGAGAGACCGGGGUUUCCUUCGGGCGGUCAUGUAGGUGCUGCAUGGUUGUCGUCAGCUCGUGCCGUGAGGUGUCGGCUUAAGUGCCAUAACGAGCGCAACCCCUUCCGCCGGUUACCAUCGGGUCAUGCCGGGGACUCCGGCGGCACUGCCGCCGCAAGGCGCGAGGAAGGCGGGGAUGACGUCAAAUCAGCACGGCCCUUACGUCCGGGGCCACACACGUGUUACAAUGGGGGGCACAGCGAGCUGGGGCAUGGCGACAUACCCCGAAUCACGAAAUCCCCUCCCAGUUCGGACCGGAGUCUGCAACCCGACUCCGCGAAGCCGGAUUCGCUAGUAAUCGCGCAUCAGCCAUGGCGCGGUGAAUACGUUCCCGGGCCUUGCACACACCGCCCGUCAAG